RNAcentral lists this non-coding RNA (67 nucleotides) under Ralstonia insidiosa. Lineage: Bacteria; Pseudomonadati; Pseudomonadota; Betaproteobacteria; Burkholderiales; Burkholderiaceae. The record is from RNAcentral.
AAGCGAAACGCCCGCGUGAGCGGGCGUCUGCCCGGUGUGGUGACCAGGCACUGAUGAGCAGCCAAAU